AACUGUUUCAUUUAUGGAAUGCUUUGGGGAAAAAAACCUUCCUCAUCCUUUGAGUUUGUCAAACAAUUUGGUUUAUGCAAGUUAAUUUUUAUCUACCUUUACCCCUUAUUUCUCUGCCAUUUUAAAACCUACUAUGUAAAGGCAGUAUGUGUAACCUGGAAUUGGCAUGUGUUUUAAACGUAGCGGAUGUGAAUAUAACGACGAAGAGCCGACUUGACCAUUUUGAGAUGCUACCCCGUGUGGUUCAUACUAGGCCUACACCCUUUGAGUAAAAGGGUCAUUUUUUUUUUUUUCAGACCGAUUCCUCAAAAGGUAAUUGAUCCUGUUUUGGGCUCCAGUUCCCCUGCAGGUAGCAGUAGUUCAGGACUCUUGUUGACCACGAUGUCAACAGGUGGUCCUACACCACAUGACAUCACCCAGCACCGUAACGGCCACUGUGCAGACUAUACUGAUGACAGACUCAUUUCCCCAUGAGGGGAUGAAUUCACGUUCAUCUCAGGGGUCGUGGGCUGGUUGGUAAUCAUCUUGUCCUGCUGCUGUGGAGAGUCCCAGUCUUUAUCGGCAACAACAUAGCGAUGGCUCAGAUCUUCUGGGAGAGGCUGUGGAUGAUACUGUGGCGUGCAGAGUACUGGACAGAUGCAAGGUGUACGGACUCCAUGUUGACUCUCCCCAGAGACCUGCAGAACCAUCAUCUCCAUCUUGGUCUCCAGCAUCGCCGGGAUGGGGAAAGUGCAACAGCUGCUCGGCGCGAGGGUUCCGGAACCGAGGCCCAGGUUGCCACGGCAGCUGGGAUUCUGUUCCCGAUUUGCCGGGGUGCUGAGUCUGUCUCUCAGCUGGACAGCUCAGUGUCAUCAUUGACUUCUAUAAUCCUCUGGAACACCAAGGCUUAAAGAGCUGGGUGCAGCAUUAGACCAGGGUCCUAUUCCCUAUAUAGUGCACUACUUUAGACCAGGGCCCUAUAUAGUACACUACUUUAGACCAGGGCCCUAUAUAGUGCACUACUUUAGACCAGGGCCCUAUAGAACCCUAUUCCCUAUAUAGUGCACUACUUUAGACCAGGGUCCACUGACAGCUUUCUGUUUCAGACUGAAGAUCUAAUGAAG
This is an RNA transcript of Oncorhynchus keta (chum salmon), 1103 nucleotides long. It is a transcript of the gene named claudin-like protein ZF-A89, with no coding region annotated. The transcript is spliced from 3 exons. The record is from RefSeq and is a predicted model, not a curated record. NCBI's taxonomy places the organism in Eukaryota, Metazoa, Chordata, Actinopteri, Salmoniformes, Salmonidae.